Non-coding RNA from Pelobates cultripes (western spadefoot toad), 320 nucleotides. Lineage: Eukaryota; Metazoa; Chordata; Amphibia; Anura; Pelobatidae. The record is from the annotation of a GenBank genome assembly.
GGUCGAGAAGUCGAACGGGCAGGGGUGCAGGCUUGCGUAGCUGACUCAAAAAUCCAUGAUGUCGACAACCAUGUAGUGCUGCCUGCGUUCGGGAGACGAACAUGUGCGUUCGAGAGACGAACAUGUGCGUUCGAAUAUACAUAUAGCGGCCACCCAGGAAUCCUGUUUGCAGUUAAUAGCCAGGGGUGGUCUGUGAUUACGAGGUGUUAACAAGGGGACCACACAGUCUGUUCGGUAACCGAACAGAAGGGCAACAAUUCCAUUCAAAUUCCAUUUGAAAGUAGUACCCUCGACUUAUCCACGAGCAUAUUUUACAAUUG